Non-coding RNA from Pelobates cultripes (western spadefoot toad), 215 nucleotides. The record is from the annotation of a GenBank genome assembly. NCBI's taxonomy places the organism in Eukaryota, Metazoa, Chordata, Amphibia, Anura, Pelobatidae.
AAGAUUGAGUCGGACAGUGACUCUGAUAUGGAUGCCGCAGAUAUGGGCUUUGACCUCCUUCCCUCUGCUCAGGCAGAGACGCCCGGAGGCGAUUCAGGGACUAGGCACCCCGCGGUUGCGGGGUCCGCCCUCGUGGAUCCGUUGGGUGUCCCACUCUUCGACCCGGAUGACUUACACCAUCUGAAGUCGGCGGAGUGGCUCCCGGCUGACCAUGU